Small nuclear RNA from Phodopus roborovskii (desert hamster), 162 nucleotides. RefSeq annotates it as U1 spliceosomal RNA. Lineage: Eukaryota; Metazoa; Chordata; Mammalia; Rodentia; Cricetidae. The transcript has a single exon. The record is from RefSeq and is a predicted model, not a curated record.
GAACUCCUGUUACGUCCUGACCAUGAUCACGAAGGUGGUUUUCCCAGGGCGAGGCUUCUCCAUUGCACUCCAGAUGUGCAGACCCCUGAGGGUUCCCCCAAUGCAGGGAACUCGUCUGCAUAAUUUGUGGUAGUGGGGGACGUGCGCUCACGCUCCCCCUGC